This 465-nucleotide ribosomal RNA is filed under the name Vreelandella stevensii. RNAcentral describes it as "partial 16S ribosomal RNA". It matches the Rfam family "Bacterial small subunit ribosomal RNA", at positions 338 to 795 of the family's 1533-position model. The record is from RNAcentral. Lineage: Bacteria; Pseudomonadati; Pseudomonadota; Gammaproteobacteria; Oceanospirillales; Halomonadaceae.
CCUACGGGAGGCUGCAGUGGGGAAUAUUGGACAAUGGGGGGAACCCUGAUCCAGCCAUGCCGCGUGUGUGAAGAAGGCCCUCGGGUUGUAAAGCACUUUCAGUGAGGAAGAACGCCUGGUGGUUAAUACCCAUCAGGAAAGACAUCACUCACAGAAGAAGCACCGGCUAACUCCGUGCCAGCAGCCGCGGUAAUACGGAGGGUGCGAGCGUUAAUCGGAAUUACUGGGCGUAAAGCGCGCGUAGGUGGCUUGAUAAGCCGGUUGUGAAAGCCCCGGGCUCAACCUGGGAACGGCAUCCGGAACUGUCAAGCUAGAGUGCAGGAGAGGAAGGUAGAAUUCCCGGUGUAGCGGUGGAAUGCGUAGAGAUCGGGAGGAAUACCAGUGGCGAAGGCGGCCUUCUGGACUGACACUGACACUGAGGUGCGAAAGCGUGGGUAGCAAACAGGAUUAGAUACCCGAGUAGUC